RNAcentral lists this long non-coding RNA (615 nucleotides) under Callithrix jacchus (white-tufted-ear marmoset). RNAcentral's name for it is "lncRNA (ENSCJAG00000083595.1)". Lineage: Eukaryota; Metazoa; Chordata; Mammalia; Primates; Cebidae. The record is from RNAcentral.
CUGUAUUACCUUGCAUAUGAAAACUGUUUUAAAUUUUCCCCAAGCUCCAUAUGAGAGCCUCUGGAUCCCUUCAGUUUAUCUCAGUGUCUUCGACUGAAUCUUCUAGAAACAGAAUUCCAGGCAGAAGGUUUAUUGGAGAACGCCCUCAGGAAAUACACCGAAAGGAAGUGAGGAUGGAGGCAAGACUGGACAGAGGGAGAAGCUGGCUCACAUCGUAGUUACAACUGAGGCCUCAGUUCGUCCUACUUGGAGCCCUACAGCUGAACGAACUAGAGUUGUUUAAAAUUGAGACGAGGGACUGAGUCGAUGUAUUUAUUCCCCAUCAGCCAUUCAUUAUGCCUGCUGGGAGAGGGCAUAACCUUGAGUGAGGCACACUUUGAAAUGUCAGAAGCCUAUUUCUGCAACAGCUUGGAGAUGGUGAGAGGACAUCUUCUGGAUGGGCAGAGCUCCCAGUGUUGGAUUUGGUCAGCUACUUUAUAUGGAAAGAUAAACAGGCUGAGGAUCCUCGUGCCAAGAAACCAGCAGGAAUUGAAGGGAGGCACCACCCUGGAAGAAGUAAUUGAUAUGGUCUUCAGGAGGAGGAAGAGCAGCUGCUACCCAAUCAGAGCAGGAUAG